This 429-nucleotide ribosomal RNA is filed under the name Actinomycetes bacterium. Its description in RNAcentral is "Actinobacteria bacterium partial 16S ribosomal RNA". It matches the Rfam family "Bacterial small subunit ribosomal RNA", at positions 355 to 776 of the family's 1533-position model. Lineage: Bacteria; Bacillati; Actinomycetota; Actinomycetes. The record is from RNAcentral.
UAGGGAAUCUUCCGCAAUGGGCGAAAGCCUGACGGAGCAACGCCGCGUGCGUGAUGAAGGUCUUCGGAUCGUAAAACUCUGUUAUUAGGGAAGAACAAAUGUGUAAGUAACUAUGCACGUCUUGACGGUACCUAAUCAGAAAGCCACGGCUAACUACGUGCCAGCAGCCGCGGUAAUACGUAGGUGGCAAGCGUUAUCCGGAAUUAUUGGGCGUAAAGCGCGCGUAGGCGGUUUUUUAAGUCUGAUGUGAAAGCCCACGGCUCAACCGUGGAGGGUCAUUGGAAACUGGAAAACUUGAGUGCAGAAGAGGAAAGUGGAAUUCCAUGUGUAGCGGUGAAAUGCGCAGAGAUAUGGAGGAACACCAGUGGCGAAGGCGACUUUCUGGUCUGUAACUGACGCUGAUGUGCGAAAGCGUGGGGAUCAAACAGG